This 199-nucleotide ribosomal RNA is filed under the name uncultured bacterium. RNAcentral's name for it is "partial 16S ribosomal RNA". It matches the Rfam family "Bacterial small subunit ribosomal RNA", at positions 326 to 539 of the family's 1533-position model. The record is from RNAcentral.
ACGCUCGACACCUACGGGAAGCAGCAGUUGGGAAUAUUGGACAAUGGAGGAAACUCUGAUCCAGUGACGCCGCGUGAAGGAAGAAGGUCUUCGGAUUGUAAACUUAUUUUGUCAGGGAAGAAAAAUGACUGUACCUGAAGAAAAAGCACCGGCUAACUACGUACCAGCAGCCGCGGUAAUCUGAGCGGGCUGGCAAGGC